RNAcentral lists this ribosomal RNA (417 nucleotides) under uncultured beta proteobacterium. RNAcentral describes it as "bacterial SSU rRNA". It matches the Rfam family "Bacterial small subunit ribosomal RNA", at positions 370 to 779 of the family's 1533-position model. Lineage: Bacteria; Pseudomonadati; Pseudomonadota; Betaproteobacteria. The record is from RNAcentral.
AAUGGGCGAAAGCCUGAUCCAGCAAUGCCGCGUGUGCGAUGAAGGCUUUCGGGUUGUAAAGCACUUUUGUCAGGGAAGAAAUGGUUCGGGCCAAUACCUCGGACUUCUGACGGUACCUGAAGAAUAAGCACCGGCUAACUACGUGCCAGCAGCCGCGGUAAUACGUAGGGUGCAAGCGUUAAUCGGAAUUACUGGGCGUAAAGCGUGCGCAGGCGGUUUACUAAGACAGGUGUGAAAUCCCCAGGCUUAACCUGGGAACUGCAUCUGUGACUAGUAGACUAGAGUUUGGCAGAGGGGGGUGGAAUUCCUGGUGUAGCAGUGAAAUGCGUAGAUAUCAGGAGGAACACCGAUGGCGAAGGCAGCCCCCUGGGCCACCACUGACGCUCAUGCACGAAAGCGUGGGGAGCAAACAGGAUU